UCUAGCAUCUUUCCAUGACCAGAUAAAUGCUCAAGUGAUAAGCUUACGAUUAGCGUUUUCUCAAUAAAACAUCUUACCUACCUUAUAAAUAUUAAAAAUAUGAGUUUUUUUGUAAUGCCCCCCCCUUUACUUACACUUUACAUCCGAUUUAUGACCAUGCACCUUAACUUACAUUUCUGAGCUCACUUCUUGCAUUUCUUCCAGCUUGCCUUUCAGUUCACUCACGGUUGUCCUCUGCCUGGAUUCGAGAGCCGUCAGAAUAUUGAUCCUCCUCUUAAGUCCAGCCUCUCGGUCUUUAGCUGAUUCUAUGAUUUUGGAGUUCAUAUCUCUAUGCCCGUAAAACAUAGAAAUAACAAUAGAGAAUGUUGUAAUAGUGAAAUAUAGUAUUAGUGCAGUCAGGUUGGCAAUGACUGUAAUGCCACACCUGACAGGAUAGUGCGCAUGCGCAAGGUGAAGGGAAUCCAGGAUGGAUUAUCUGUUAUGAUUAUCAGCUGCUGCCGGAAUGGCUUGUUCGUGAUGUGUUCGUGAUUAACAAUGAAUAAAUCUAUAACACCGUAAAGUGCGUUGAUUCAUUUUCAUAUCAUCGAACAUAACAUGGUGCCGAAACCCGAUGGUUUUCCGCAAUCGAAAAAGUAAUUACGGAAUACGGUUACGGAAAAGUCGCGAGUGCUACUGCCAUGUGCCAGUGACAACCAUUGAAGCCUAAGAUUGUGCCAUCAAUCAAAGCAGGUAGCGUGCAAUUCCUGCAAAGAUCAAGAAAUAGUGUGCCAACACAAAGCUUAAGCAAUGCCGAACACAAGUGCAAAUGGAGAGACCGAGGAAAGAACAGCAUCCCAUGGCUCCACAAAAACAAUAUCUGCCAAGAUAAAGCCUCUAGAAAUUGUCGCCGGAGCAAACAUGGCCGAACGGUGGGAGCUCUGGAAGGAUAAAUUCGAAAUAUUCAUGUGUGCAACAACGUGUGAGGGAGAAUCAGAUGCAAGAAGAAAUUGCCUGCUAUUGCAAUUUCUUGGGGAUGAUGCAUAUAGCAUAUACGCAUCAUUCAAUAAGAAGUACAACGAACUCACACAUAAGCAACUCAUAGAAUUGUUUGAUGCACAUUUCAAGCCAGAAAAGAAUGUGGAAAUGGCUUUAUAUAAAUUAAUAACCAGAAAACAAAAAGAAGAUGAAACAUUGGAUGAGUUCGUCACAAGUUUGAAGAAUUUAAGCCUGGCCUGUAACCUAGACAAUCAAAGGGAUAAAAUUGUCAAAGCAAUUAUGAUUGCAAAUUUGCUGCCAAAGUUUGAAGAGGUGAGAAUCCAAAUAUUGAUGAAGCAGGAUGAAACAUUGGAGAAUGCCAUCAAAAUCAUCAAAACAUUUGAUGCAUCAAGGCGUCAGGUGCAGGAGAUGGAUGCAACUGAACCUGUGGUAGGCAAGAUCAGCAGACGUUAUCAAGAAGAUGCUCGGCAAAGUACAGAGCAGCGCAGUCAUCAAAGAACUACCAACAGUGCUAAGCAGUAUGCGAGUGGUCCGAAGCACAAGGGACAAUCAAGUCGGCGGUAUGGUUCUUCUAAGGUGCAAGCCGAUGACUCGAGAAGGAUGCGAAACUACAGUAGGUGCAAAAACUGUGGAAAUACCAAACAUUAUUCUGGAAGGUGCCCUGCCAUUGGGAGAAAAUGUGACAAUUGCAAUGGGUCAAAUCACUUCUCAAGAGUGUGCAAGUAUGCUGAGCGAAAAGUGAGACUGGUGGAUGAGGAGUCGACUGAUAGCGACGAUUACUAUUCGGAAGAUGAUGGUCCUGAGCUAUUCAUUGGUGCGAUCGAAUCCAAGCAGGAGGACGAUCAGUGAACAACAAUAGACGAGAAAGCCUGCUUCCCCACGAAAUUGCAGAUUAUCCUUACCAAAAAGUAGGCAUGGAUUAUAUGGAAUUCAACAAAGAUCUGUACAUAGUGAUAGUGGAUUACUAUUCUCAAUAUCCAGAAAUAGCAAAAAUCAGUAGUACCAAGGCCAGUAGCCUCAUAACACAGGUAAAAUCCAUAUUUGCUAGGAAUGGAAUUCCUGAAAUUAUUUUUCUGAUAAUGGGCCUCCAUUUAAUUCUAAGGAAUUUAUCAAAUUUUGUAAUCUAUGGUCAAUAAAAUCUGAAACUUCUAGCCCUCAAUACGCUCAAUCCAAUGGUUUAGUUGAAAGAACAAUUCAAACACUGAAGAAAAUGUUAAAGAAAUGUGUAGAAUCAAAGCAAGAUCCUUACAUAGCUUUGUUAAAUUUUAGAAAUUCAGCUAAAGGCAAAAUGCCUUCCCCUGCGAAACUGUUAAUGUCGCGUAAUCUAAGAACAAAAAUGUAUGUUGAUAAGUCUAUGCUAAAACCACAAGCAAUCCCAUAUGAGACAUUUCAUAACUUGAAAACUGAACAGGUGGAGCAAAUGAAAAAAUACCACAAGGGUCAUGGAGAAUUAUCAGAAUUCCAAGCAGAAGACCAGGUAUUCUUUAAAAAAUUAUGGAAAGGUAAUUGGGAACCUGGCAAAAUUGUUAAAAAAUGUCAACAACCCCGAUCUUAUGUAAUAGAAAGUAAAAAUGGAAAGCAAUACAGGAGAAAUCGUGUAUUUAUCAAACCUAGAAAAGACUGUCAGGAUGAAGAUAAUUUAAAUAAAGGUAAUAAGAUCUUGAAAAAACCUCAAACAGAGGACAAUAAGGAUAGCUGCAUCGUAGUGGAAAAAACAGCGGAAGUACAGAAAUCAAAGGCUUCAGAAAAUGAGUUAGAAGAAGAUAUCCAAUUUUAUUUGAAAGUCCAAGUACUUCUCAAAUUGAUCGAAAUUCUAAUAAUGAUCAACAAGAAAGCAUUAGUUCAGAUUAUCAAAGUCCAGUUGCUCAAAGUUCAAAUGUAAAUUUCCAGAAUUCCAACAAGAAUCAUGUAAAAUCGCGAGGUAGAGGUUUAAUGCGAGGCAGAAUAAUUAUAGAAGAGCAAAGAAUUAGAAAACCUCCAAAUUAUCUUAAGGAUUAUGUAACUAAGUAAAAAAUUAAAGACAAAUUGUAUGUAUAAACUGUGAUUAAAAAAAAAAAAAAAAAAAAAAAAAAAAAAAAAAAGGGAGUUGUUGUAAUAGUGAAAUAUAGUAUUAGUGCAGUCAGGUUGGCAAUGACUGUAAUGCCACACCUGACAGGAUAGUGCGCAUGCGCAAGGUGAAGGGAAUCCAGGAUGGAUUAUCUGUUAUGAUUAUCAGCUGCUGCCGGAAUGGCUUGUUCGUGAUGUGUUCGUGAUUAACAAUGAAUAAAUCUAUAACACCGUAAAGUGCGUUGAUUCAUUUUCAUAUCAUCGAACAUAACAGAGAAGACGUUAAAAAUCGACGAAGACUCCAUCGAUAAUGAAUUAUGCUUAGUCCAAAGGUUCAGACCUCUCUCUUGAGACUCGAUGUGAAGAUGAACUUCAGGCCCACGUCAAAAGCAUAGAAAUAUCUCGUUAGCUUUGAUUUUUUUGCAGAAAUACCGCGACUUUCUAAACUCAAAGUCACUCAUAAGUAAAACUUUCACUAGGCACAGCAUGCGACCAGUCUCGGUGUUGGAGUAAUCAUUUUUUCGCCUUUUUUAUCCGGUAAAAAAUGAAAUCGUUAUAUAUUUCGAAACGCUCCAGGGUUUUUUAAUUUAUCUUUCGUAUUGUUGUAGCCUUGAGUUGUUAUUUUACAAGGCACUAUGUGAUACAACGUUAUAAUUUUUUUUUUUUUAAUGCAACGAAGUUUCUAUUUCCUUGAAGAGGAGUUUGAAAAGGCACUGUUUCAGCCGAAACUUGGAGGGAUGGAUGGAUCCAUAGACAGAUCCAGACAUUUAAAAAGGCGGCGGGCAAUGCGGGGCCCGGGGGGCUCCCCAUAGAAAAUUGUCGAAAUUUUACAGCAUCUACCAUGCAGUUUGAGUCAAUUAUGUCAUGAGUAUAUACCAAAUGGACGUAUAUUUCUGUCAAACGGAACUAAGUGCAUUAAGACGUGAGCCCUGUUAUGCAAGUAUUCUUAUAGGUCUCAGGGCUCAUGUCUGAAUGCACAUAGUUCCGUUUAAUAGAAAUACGUCCAAAUGUGUCCUACCUUCUUUUUUCCUCCGUUCCUACCUCUUUCCCCUUUUUGUACCGGCUUAUAUACAGGCGAACUGAGGGGGGGGGGGGGUUGAUUGAGUUGCUUGAUUCGCCUAUGGGUGGAUUUUUUCAGAAAUGAAAUUUUUUAACAUUUCCUCAAGAAAAUAUCAGCACUGAAAAGUUGGCGCUCUGCCCUCCCCAGCUGGCGCCUUGAUCCACUAAGUUUAAACUAACCGCAAAUCAAAUAUUGGUUUUCUUGAAACCCGGAAAGCUUUAAAUACAUAUAUCUAGACUUGCCUGUCAUUGUCUUCCACUUUGGUGGCUUCGAGCUCUUCUGUCUUUUUGUCGAGCUCGGCCUUCAACUGUUUGACUUCUCUCAUUGCUUCAGCUAAUCUCAGCUCUGCUUCUUUCUUCUUCUGCCUCUCUUCAGAGAGCUCCUUUGACUGGUCAAUAUUUGCCUUGCUGAGUUUCUCGUUUUCACGGCUCACUUGAAGUAGGUUCUUUUCCCUGAUUUUGAACACCGCUGAGGACAUGGAGGAGAUCUGACCGGUUGUGCGCAGCUGCGAAACCUCAUUCUCUAGAGUAAUCAGUCUCUCCUCCUUGGAUUUCAGCUCCUCGGCUAACUCGGCCUUUUCUAUCUGUGAGGACAAAAAUCCUAUUUUAUUAGAAAAAAUGUUAAUUUCCUUCUCUAUCAUCAAUUUAUGUUACCCCUCUCCCCUCCUCUCUCUCCCCGUUCUUCUCUC
This 4769-nucleotide long non-coding RNA is filed under the name Bemisia tabaci. RNAcentral's name for it is "lncRNA ENSSSA1UGG004247". The record is from RNAcentral. Lineage: Eukaryota; Metazoa; Arthropoda; Insecta; Hemiptera; Aleyrodidae.